UGCAAAGGUGGAGAUACCUAAGC
RNAcentral lists this non-coding RNA (23 nucleotides) under Arabidopsis thaliana (thale cress). Lineage: Eukaryota; Viridiplantae; Streptophyta; Magnoliopsida; Brassicales; Brassicaceae. The record is from RNAcentral.